RNAcentral lists this ribosomal RNA (494 nucleotides) under uncultured bacterium. Its description in RNAcentral is "partial 16S ribosomal RNA". It matches the Rfam family "Bacterial small subunit ribosomal RNA", at positions 28 to 507 of the family's 1533-position model. The record is from RNAcentral.
GACGAACGCUGGCGGCGUGCUUAACACAUGCAAGUCGAACGGUGAAGCGCCUUCCUUUUUGGUGGGUGUGGAUGAGUGGCGAACGGGUGAGUAACACGUGAGUAACCUGCCCCCUUCUUCUGGAUAACCGCAUGAAAGUGUGGCUAAUACGGGAUAUUCUGGGUCUGUCGCAUGAUGGGUCUGGGAAAGAUAUUGUUUCGGUGGGGGAUGGGCUCGCGGCCUAUCAGCUUGUUGGUGGGGUGAUGGCCUACCAAGGCGGUGACGGGUAGCCGGCCUGAGAGGGUGGACGGUCACACUGGGACUGAGACACGGCCCAGACUGCUACGGGAGGCAGCAGUGGGGAAUAUUGAACAAUGGGCGCAAGCCUGAUGCAGCGACGCCGCGUGAGGGAUGGAGGCCUGCGGGUUGUGAACCUCUUUCGCCAGUGAAGCAGGCCUGCCUCGUUUGUGGGUGGGUUGACGGUAGCUGGAUAAGAAGCGCCGGCUAACUACGUG